This 882-nucleotide ribosomal RNA is filed under the name uncultured archaeon. RNAcentral's name for it is "bacterial SSU rRNA". It matches the Rfam family "Archaeal small subunit ribosomal RNA", at positions 19 to 903 of the family's 1478-position model. The record is from RNAcentral.
AGAGGCUACUGCUAUCGGGGUUCGAUUAAGCCAUGCGAGUUAAAUGUUCUUCGUGAACAUAGCGAACUGCUCAGUAACACGUGGAUAACCUACCCUUAGGACCGGAAUAACCCCGGGAAACUGGGGAUAAUACCGGAUAAGCCAUAGACGCUGGAAUGCCCUAUGGUUCAAAGCUCCGGCGCCUAAGGAUGGAUCUGCGGUCUAUCAGGUUGUAGUGGGUGUAACGUACCUACUAGCCGACGACGGAUACGGGUUGUGAGAGCAAGAGCCCGGAGAUAGAUUCUGAGACACGAAUCCAGGCCCUACGGGGUGCAGCAGGCGCGAACACUUUACAAUGCGGGAAACCGCGAUAAGGGAACCCCGAGUGCCAGCAUCAAAUGUUGGCUGUCCGGAUGAUUAAAAAUCAUUUGUUAGCAAGGGCCGGGCAAGACCGGUGCCAGCCGCCGCGGUAACACCGGCGGCCCGAGUGGUAGCCGUUUUUAUUGGGUCUAAAGGGUCCGUAGCCGGCUUGAUAAGUCCUUUGGGAAAUCUGGCAGCUUAACUGUCAGGCUUCUAAGGGAUACUGUCAGGCUUGGGACCGGAAGAGGUAAGGGGUACUCCAGGGGUAGGAGUGAAAUCUUGUAAUCCCUGGGGGACCAUCUGUGGCGAAGGCGUCUUACCAGAACGGGUCUGACGGUGAGGGACGAAAGCUGGGGGCGCGAACCGGAUUAGAUACCCGGGUAGUCCCAGCCGUAAACGAUGCUCGCUAUGUGUCAGGUAUGGUGCGACCAUAUCUGGUGCCGUAGGGAAGCCGUGAAGCGAGCCACCUGGGAAGUACGGCCGCAAGGCUGAAACUUAAAGGAAUUGGCGGGGGAGCACUACAACGGGUGGAGCCUGCGGUUU